This 299-nucleotide long non-coding RNA is filed under the name Brassica rapa (field mustard). Its description in RNAcentral is "long non-coding RNA (BRAP_LNC004764)". Lineage: Eukaryota; Viridiplantae; Streptophyta; Magnoliopsida; Brassicales; Brassicaceae. The record is from RNAcentral.
AACGCCGUUGUGUCUCCCUCUAGGACGUGUACUGGUUGAUGAUCUGCUUCUUCUACGGACACAGAAGUUCACUGUUAUAGGUAACAAUAUGAGAAUGAGCAUAACCAAAAUAGACCCUCCAACUGCAGCAAUUAUAACUUUAAUCCUGUGGCUUAACCAGGGAGACUCAGGCUUCUUUUCUUGUGCUGGUUGCUGUCCGAAAUUGUCGAAACUUAAUCCCUUACUGGAGUAAAACGAAGAGCAGUCUGACAAUCCUCGCUGGCUCAUUGCCCCCUGAAGACAAUUGUUGCUCAAGGAAG